CCCAUCAGGCAAAAUAUUCUGCCCAUUAAGUCAUUCAGAGAAGAGGCGUUACAAGUGGGCGAACCAGCCAGGGGAUCGAGUAAGCUGGCGCAAUGGGCAAAUCAGAGGAAAGGAGUAAAUCUGAUGGCUUUCAUACAGCAGUUGAUGAUACGUCUGUGACAGUUUUCCCCGGAGUUGAAGAUCAUUCCUCUUCUGAAGCUUUUUCCCUGUGUUCUUGAGGCAGAAACAAGUUCCUCAGAUGUCCUGCAUUCUUCUCUUCCAAUCCCAGAUGGUCCAAAGGUCAAUUCUCUUCAGUCUUGGAUCAGUUUUACGUUGAUAAGUCUUUCUUGCCCUUGCAAUUCAGUCAUCCUGCAACCUACACUCUGUUUCCCAGCUAUGCUGACAGCAACGAUGCUAAAGUGUUGUCCUAUUCUGCAGAUGAUGAUGUCCUACCAGAUGCCAAAGACCCUUAUGUCUCCAAAACGUCUUCCCUAAGGGCCGAGAAUACUGAGGGAGAUUGAAUCCCCCCAACACUUGGGGAAGGGAAGAGUAGGAGUUGGGCAGAAUCUGAAGGGUUACAGAAAUGCAAUGUAAAUAGUUAAAGAGAUAGUUUCAUGUUGUUGUUGAAAAUGGGAUACUUGGGGGAUAGUGUAGUAUAAAGGGUUAACUGAUAGGAUAUGCUCAUGUAUGACGUAGAUGAUGAUAUACUACUGACAACAGUCAGUUAU
Long non-coding RNA from Carcharodon carcharias (great white shark), 707 nucleotides. RefSeq lists it as uncharacterized. The transcript has 3 exons. The record is from RefSeq and is a predicted model, not a curated record. NCBI's taxonomy places the organism in Eukaryota, Metazoa, Chordata, Chondrichthyes, Lamniformes, Lamnidae.